Molecule: ribosomal RNA, 618 nt
Filed under: uncultured bacterium
Lineage: Bacteria
Description: bacterial SSU rRNA
Rfam family: Bacterial small subunit ribosomal RNA
Source: RNAcentral
CCAGACUCCUACGGGAGGCAGCAGUGGGGAAUAUUGCACAAUGGGCGCAAGCCUGAUGCAGCGACGCCGCGUGAGGGAUGGAGGCCUUCGGGUUGUAAACCUCUUUCGCCAGUGAAGCAGGCCUGCUCCUUGUGGGUGGGUUGACGGUAGCUGGAUAAGAAGCGCCGGCUAACUACGUGCCAGCAGCCGCGGUAAUACGUAGGGCGCGAGCGUUGUCCGGAAUUAUUGGGCGUAAAGAGCUCGUAGGCGGCUGGUCGCGUCUGUCGUGAAAUCCUCUGGCUUAACUGGGGGCUUGCGGUGGGUACGGGCCGGCUUGAGUGCGGUAGGGGAGACUGGAACUCCUGGUGUAGCGGUGGAAUGCGCAGAUAUCAGGAAGAACACCGGUGGCGAAGGCGGGUCUCUGGGCCGUUACUGACGCUGAGGAGCGAAAGCGUGGGGAGCGAACAGGAUUAGAUACCCUGGUAGUCCACGCCGUAAACGUUGGGCACUAGGUGUGGGGGGCCUUUUCCGGGUCUUCCGCGCCGUAGCUAACGCAUUAAGUGCCCCGCCUGGGGAGUACGGCCGCAAGGCUAAAACUCAAAGGAAUUGACGGGGGCCCGCACAAGAAGGGCGAAUUCC